GACGAACGCUGGCGGCGUGCCUAAUACAUGCAAGUAGAACGCUGAAGGAGGAGCUUGCUUCUCUGGAUGAGUUGCGAACGGGUGAGUAACGCGUAGGUAACCUGCCUGGUAGUGGGGGAUAACUAUUGGAAACGAUAGCUAAUACCGCAUAAUAGCAGUUGUUGCAUGAUAACUGUUUGAAAGGUGCAAUUGCACCGCUACCAGAUGGACCUGCGUUGUAUUAGCUAGUUGGUGGGGUAACGGCUCACCAAGGCGACGAUACAUAGCCGACCUGAGAGGGUGAUCGGCCACACUGGGACUGAGACACGGCCCAGACUCCUACGGGAGGCAGCAGUAGGGAAGCUUCGGCAAUGGACGGAAGUCUGACCGAGCAACGCCGCGUGAGUGAAGAAGGUUGUCGGAUCGUAAAGCUCUGUUGUAAGAGAAGAACGAGUGUGAGAGUGGAAAGUUCACACUGUGACGGUAUCUUACCAGAAAGGGACGGCUAACUACGUG
This 495-nucleotide ribosomal RNA is filed under the name uncultured bacterium. RNAcentral's name for it is "partial 16S ribosomal RNA". It matches the Rfam family "Bacterial small subunit ribosomal RNA", at positions 28 to 507 of the family's 1533-position model. The record is from RNAcentral.